AUUGAACGCUGGCGGCAUGCCUUACACAUGCAAGUCGAACGGCAGCACGGGAGCAAUCCUGGUGGCGAGUGGCGAACGGGUGAGUAAUAUAUCGGAACGUGCCCGGUCGUGGGGGAUAACGUAGCGAAAGCUACGCUAAUACCGCAUACGAUCUACGGAUGAAAGCGGGGGAUCGCAAGACCUCGCGCGAUUGGAGCGGCCGAUAUCAGAUUAGGUAGUUGGUGAGGUAAAGGCUCACCAAGCCGACGAUCUGUAGCUGGUCUGAGAGGACGACCAGCCACACUGGGACUGAGACACGGCCCAGACUCCUACGGGAGGCAGCAGUGGGGAAUUUUGGACAAUGGGCGCAAGCCUGAUCCAGCAAUGCCGCGUGCAGGAUGAAGGCCCUUC
This 390-nucleotide ribosomal RNA is filed under the name uncultured bacterium. RNAcentral describes it as "bacterial SSU rRNA". It matches the Rfam family "Bacterial small subunit ribosomal RNA", at positions 30 to 420 of the family's 1533-position model. The record is from RNAcentral.